UCGAGUUUACAACUCCCAAACCCCUGUGAACAUACCUAUUCGUUGCCUCGGCGGGAGGCCCCGGGGGGUAGCCGGCGUCCGCGCCGGCCGCCCUCCCGGACCCCAUGGCUGCCCGCCGGAGGACCAAUAAACUCUUGUUUUACUUAUAUCUUACUUCUGAGUAACUGGCGAAAGCCGAAAAUAAAUCA
Molecule: unclassified non-coding RNA, 188 nt
Filed under: uncultured Chaetopsina
Lineage: Eukaryota; Fungi; Ascomycota; Sordariomycetes; Hypocreales; Nectriaceae
Description: sequence contains ITS1
Source: RNAcentral